GACGGGGGCCCGCACAAGCGGAGGAGCAUGUGGUUUAAUUCGAUGAUACGCGAGGAACCUUACCUGGGCUCGAACGUAAGAUGACUGUAGGUGAAAGCUUACAUCUCUUCGGAGCAUUUUACGAGGUGCUGCAUGGUUGUCGUCAGCUCGUGCCGUGAGGUGUCGGGUUAAGUCCCAUAACGAGCGCAACCCCUACCUUUAGUUGCCAUCAGGUAAUGCUGGGGACUCUAAAGGAACUGCCUACGCAAGUAGUGAGGAAGGCGGGGAUGACGUCAAAUCAGCACGGCCCUUACGUCCAGGGCUACACACGUGCUACAAUGGCCGGUACAAAGGGCAGCUACCUGGUGACAGGAUGCUAAUCUCAAAAGCCGGUCUCAGUUCGGAUCGGAGUCUGCAACCCGACUCCGUGAAGUUGGAUUCGCUAGUAAUCGCGCAUCAGCCAUGGCGCGGUGAAUACGUUCCCGGGCCUU
Molecule: ribosomal RNA, 470 nt
Filed under: uncultured Sphingobacteriales bacterium
Lineage: Bacteria; Pseudomonadati; Bacteroidota; Sphingobacteriia; Sphingobacteriales
Description: bacterial SSU rRNA
Rfam family: Bacterial small subunit ribosomal RNA
Source: RNAcentral